This 511-nucleotide long non-coding RNA is filed under the name Hordeum vulgare. Its description in RNAcentral is "long non-coding RNA (HVUL_LNC001375)". Lineage: Eukaryota; Viridiplantae; Streptophyta; Magnoliopsida; Poales; Poaceae. The record is from RNAcentral.
GAAAGGGUUACAAUUAUGGAAUGUUAAACUUCGGCUGUUACACUAUGCCCAUAUUAUUGCAAAUAUUGCCUUGUUUAUAAAAUAUAGGGGGAGUGUUGAUCCUAGUGUGUGUGUCUUGCAUUCCACAAGCAUUCAUUCUUAAAGCUUCUUUGACAGCCAAUUUCUCUUCUCUUUUGGCACGACCUCAAAUAUUCAAAGACCACGGUCUGCACCUGGGCACCGGAUCACCGCAAGGCAUUAUCAGCAUAUACUACAUCUUAAUUCUCAUCUAAGUAAGCAACGAACAAUAUUUUGCUCGAUAACAACAAUCCAUCCUUCUGGGUCUUAAAUUGGGAUACAUGUAGCCUGCAAGGUGAAUGAGGCAUCAGUUUUCUUUAAAACGAGUGAACAUGUACAGUCACAGGAAAUUUUGAGGAUAUCAAAGAUGAAUACAUACUUGGAGAUCCAACCCAAUGUGUUUAGCAAUCUGUAUCUUCUCCUUAAUAUACUCAUCCCACGUCUUCUCUUUGUG